Molecule: ribosomal RNA, 495 nt
Filed under: uncultured bacterium
Lineage: Bacteria
Description: partial 16S ribosomal RNA
Rfam family: Bacterial small subunit ribosomal RNA
Source: RNAcentral
GACGAACGCUGGCGGCGUGCCUAAUACAUGCAAGUAGAACGCUGAAGGAGGAGCUUGCUUCUCCGGAUGAGUUGCGAACGGGUGAGUAACGCGUAGGUAACCUGCCUUGUAGCGGGGGAUAACUAUUGGAAACGAUAGCUAAUACCGCAUAAGAGUAGAUGUCGCAUGACAUUUGCUUAAAAGGUGCAACUGCACCACUACCAGAUGGCCCUGCGUUGUAUUAGCUAGUUGGUGAGGUAACGGCUCACCAAGGCAACGAUACAUAGCCGACCUGAGAGGGGGAUCGGCCAAAACGGGAAUGAGAACAGGGCCAGAACCCUAAGGGAGGCAGCAGUAGGGGAACUUCGGCAAAGGACGGAAGUCUGAACGAGCAACGCCGGGUGAGUGAAGAAAGUGUUCGGAUCGUAAAGCUCUGUUGUAAGGGAAGAAAGAGUGGGAGAGUGGAAAGUUCACACUGUGACGGUAUCUAAACAGAAAGGGACGGCUAACUACGUG